This 72-nucleotide transfer RNA is filed under the name Pomatostomus ruficeps (chestnut-crowned babbler). Its description in RNAcentral is "tRNA-Leu". Lineage: Eukaryota; Metazoa; Chordata; Aves; Passeriformes; Timaliidae. The record is from RNAcentral. RNAcentral also lists the same sequence under 2 other names.
ACUUCCAAAGGAUAACAGUCGAUCCAAUGGUCUUAGGAGCCACCCAUCUUGGUGCAAAUCCAAGUGGAAGUA